This 253-nucleotide ribosomal RNA is filed under the name uncultured bacterium. Its description in RNAcentral is "partial 16S ribosomal RNA". It matches the Rfam family "Bacterial small subunit ribosomal RNA", at positions 524 to 776 of the family's 1533-position model. The record is from RNAcentral.
UACGGAGGGGGCUAGCGUUGUUCGGAAUUACUGGGCGUAAAGCGCGCGUAGGCGGAUUGUUAAGUCAGGGGUGAAAUCCCGAGGCUCAACCUCGGAACUGCCUUUGAUACUGGCGAGCUAGAGCCCGGGAGUGGGGAGUGGAACUGCGAGUGUGGAGGUGAAAUUCGUGGAUAUUCGCAGGAACACCAGUGGCGAAGGCGGCGCACUGGCCCGGAACUGACGCUGAGGUGCGAAAGCGUGGGGAGCAAACGGG